RNAcentral lists this ribosomal RNA (497 nucleotides) under uncultured bacterium. RNAcentral describes it as "partial 16S ribosomal RNA". It matches the Rfam family "Bacterial small subunit ribosomal RNA", at positions 28 to 507 of the family's 1533-position model. The record is from RNAcentral.
GACGAACGCUGGCGGCGUGCCUAAUACAUGCAAGUAGAACGCUGAAGCUUGGUGCUUGCACCGAGCGGAUGAGUUGCGAACGGGUGAGUAACGCGUAGGUAACCUGCCUGGUAGCGGGGGAUAACUAUUGGAAACGAUAGCUAAUACCGCAUAAGAGUAGAUGUUGCAUGACAUUUGCUUAAAAGGUGCAAUUGCAUCACUACCAGAUGGACCCGCGUUGUAUUAGCUAGUUGGUGAGGUAACGGCUCACCAAGGCAACGAUACAUAGCCGACCUGAGAGGGUGAUCGGCCACACUGGGACUGAGACACGGCCCAGACUCCUACGGGAGGCAGCAGUAGGGAAUCUUCGGCAAUGGACGGAAGUCUGACCGAGCAACGCCGCGUGAGUGAAGAAGGUUUUCGGAUCGUAAAGCUCUGUUGUAAGAGAAGAACGAGUGUGAGAGUGGAAAGUUCACACUGUGACGGUAUCUUACCAGAAAGGGACGGCUAACUACGUG